UUUGUGUGUGGAUUAUUUGGCCUACCACAACCACCACCACCACCACCGGCGGACAACAUCAGCCCCACAUGCCUUCUUUUGCCGUGUCUGCGAUACUCCUCGAACAAGUUGUUGGAUAAACCGAGUCACUUGUUCCCUUCCACUCCACGCGAUGCUUUGCUCCUCUUGCAAGCUCAGAAGCUGUCCCCUUUGUCGUCUGCCUGCAGAUUCCACCUCCUCAUCCAGAUCCUGCGCAUCUCUCUCCUCACCAUCUCCUCCUCCUCCUCCUCCCAUCCAACACAAUCAUCAGCCCGAGGAAAAAGACGGGGAAAAAACCUGGUCCACUGCAACCCAUGCACUCUGAGCCCCACACUCUGUUGGAUUUUUGCUGCAGUUGGCUUAUAUAUGGAGGUACUACUAAUCGGAGGGUAAUGAUUGGUUUAACUUUGAUCUGGAAGUGGCGAUGGUCCACUGGUUUUGUACUAACACACUCGCGAAGCCAUCAUGAAGGCCCUCUUUUGCGUAUAACUAAGACUCCGGCAAGUAUAUUCUUGUUUCAUCUUAAUCGCUCGACAAAUACUUUUGGCAUGAUGAGAUCCACUACGGCUUAAUUCUUGCGGAUGUAAGGAAUUAAGAACAGAGCGCAAGUUGGCCGAGAAAACAAGGGGGAAUUAGCGUUGUGGAGGAUACGAACAGACGACGAAGGGCGACUGCAGGGGAGUUUUGUCGUUGGCAUGGACUUUAUCGUCUUGGGUUUGGGCAUCCAAGAUGUGCUCUUCAUCCUCCUAUUGUCCUCAUUCCUUUUGGGCAUCGAAUCUGGUGCGAUGCUGUUGCCACGCGUGGGAGAUUUCGGUGCUCAUGCGAGCGGGAUGAAAAAGGGAUCGGGGAUAGUCUGCGGGCUGCAAUGGCGUUGGACUUUCUGAAAGGUUAACGUGGAAAGUGAUUCCUCAGUCCUUAUCAACAGCUUUCGAGGAAGGCGAAGUUCCAUACACACACUUUUGUACUGUUUUCUUUAAUUGUCUCUUUGUUUUGUACAAAGCCUUGAUGAGAUUGUAGCGUGCAAUCAAUCCUCCAGCCAGAUUGUAAACGAGCUCGACCUCAUUCAUGUCUUCUUCACCUGCUGCCUCGAACCACAGUCGUCUUCUUCCCCUCACUGAACUUGCUCUGUUCCCUUCUGGUUUCUUUCCCUUUUGAUCUGCUUCUUUGAGCGUGCAAUUAUAGACAUCAGAUAAAAGGGCAUCUACAUCUCCCGAUCUUGGAUGUCGUCCACCAGCAAGUUUUUUAAAGCUCGAUACAAAAACGUGAUGCAUAUAUUCUCUUCAUACCACAGUUAUUUACCUGUGGCAGACAUCCACUAUCCAAUGGCAUAUCCUCUCAUUAUCGCCAUGGUUUUGGCCGACUGACGACAUUUAUGGAUGCACACCUUUACGGGAAUCUAAUUCUUUUGGCUGUUGCCGACAACUUUAACACGUUGGAGCUCACUGAGAUUGCUUUGCAGAUCCAAUCGCACUUUUCGGUGCACAUAUCCAUUGUGUCUCCGUGGAUGUAUAGAUUUCACAUCAUCAAGACGCCACUGUUUGUCCUUCGUUUCCUCGGCUCCGGAACCAAAUGGAUAAGCCUCCUCUUGUGUCCUAAUCAAAAGUGUUGAGAGCAUACCUGCAGUUGUGUCCACAGGUUGCAGACGGCAUGCAGAAGUAGCAGCAGCAACUAUGAAGGGUGAGCGACUGAGUCGAGUUGGAUCAGGAGGUGACUCUCUUACGAAGCCAUCAACAGACGCAUAAAGGCUUAUCGAAUCAAACAGGACACAAUACUAGGUAUUUCGAAGGCGAGAGAUUAUGACACUCCAAGUCAGUGGCUAAUCAAGUUCAUAUGAUGAGGUCAUCACGCCUUAUGUGGAUAGACACACUAUCUUAAUUAGACUCGAGCAAUUUUGAAGUCACCCAAGAGGUCAGUUCUUCCACCGGAUCAGGUGAUUAGUAUCGCUAGUUCUCAAAGAGUUUGCUUUUGGUAUAUCCAUCAGAACAUGUGUGAUCUAUGCAGUCUUGAUGUGAAGCUAAAUGCAAAUUACUUCAAAUGAACAAGUUUUCACCUUGUCAUAGAGGAGGAUAUCUAAUUGGCCAUGUCCACCUUAUGGGUUUAUAUUUCCUUCACUUGUUGCCUCUAGCAAGAAUUUUGCAUAAAGCCAGCAGGGACUUCACCACAGUAUAGUUGACACAAUAUAGCACAUAAUACUAGGGUAUGUGCACUAUAAUAAUUCUAAUCAGAGGCAACAUUUAUGUGCACACAAAAAUAUUGAACAAAAAUAUAAAACAAAAACUCACAGGCCAAUCAACAAAAAAUUGAAAGCUGAAGCAGCAUCCAAAUGUAAAUUCACAGGCCAAUCAACAAUGAUGUAAAACAAAACUCAGCAAAUUAAACAUUAAAAAAGGAAAAUAAAAAAAAUGCAUAAUAGCCAAUAAUGUAUGUUCUGAUCCAAGACUAUGCAAAGAGAAGGUAGACUUCUUCUCUCCUGAAGAAAGCCCACCUCCACAAACCACACAUGUAAAAGACAGAAGCAAUAAGAUAAAUAUAUUGGGGAAAGGCUUAGAAAAAGUUGCACUACGUGAACUCAAGACAUAUUUCUUCAAGUCUUACACAAAA
Molecule: non-coding RNA, 2619 nt
Organism: Musa acuminata subsp. malaccensis (wild Malaysian banana)
Lineage: Eukaryota; Viridiplantae; Streptophyta; Magnoliopsida; Zingiberales; Musaceae
Source: RefSeq, a predicted model, not a curated record